GAGAUUUUGGGUUUGACUGCUAGGCCUGAGCAUAGUGUACAUGAAUUAUCUAGUAAUUAUUGUAGGUGUCAUAAUUAUCAUGUUUUUUAGUAUUUAACGUUAAUUAAAUGAAGUUUAAUUUAAAGCAAUUUAUGUGUAAAAAAAAAACACAAAAGACAAUUAAAUACUUCCAACCUCUUAUAUAGGGUAGUGUAAAAAAUAGGGUAGUGUAAGUAUAUGUUGCAACUCAAAUCUAUGAAAUAAGUGCGUUUCUCCUAUUGACCUUGAUCAAGAUUGCAAGAAAUGUAUAACAUUUGGAGAAAGCUUCAGACUCAGAGAUGCUAGUUAUCCAGAGGACUUGAGCUGAGAGAAGGAGAGCUGGAGUUAAUGGUGGAUCCGCAGUGAGGCACAGAGGACACAGGGAACACAAGCUAAGUGCUGUGGAGCUCUGUGAUGCUGAUGUGAUGGGACGGGCCCAGUGAGCUGUGAGGAGGAGGAGUGUGGAUUGAGGUGGCUUUUGGGACAAUGGGCCUGCUCUUCUCCAAUAAAACAUGAAGGCCUCAUCGCAGCAUUCUGGCCCCACUGUACAGUCUUUGUGUUGGAGACCCACCACUAACAAGUAGAUGACACGAAAUGGGAUGCCGAUUAACAAUUUGGCCAGAAUUGGCAUAUACAUGUCAGCUUUAUAAUAAUAUAUGUAGUUAAUUUCAUGAAUGAUCAUUUAUAAAGUAUUACUUUUUAAAAAUAAAGGUUCCAAAAGAGGACUUUUAUCAAAGUGGAACCAUUUUAGGCCAUAUUCUAGUGUGAAGAACAUUUUAACAAUCUAAAGAAUCUUUCUUUAGUAUUUUGAUAGUAUUUGUUUUUCUGUGUGGGGUGUAAAUAUAGCUUAAGUAAAACUCUUAAAUAUUAAAUAUAAAAGUUUUAAAAGGGGGAGACAGAUGGGGCUCAGUGGUUAGCACUGUUGCCUCACAG
Molecule: non-coding RNA, 951 nt
Organism: Danio rerio (zebrafish)
Lineage: Eukaryota; Metazoa; Chordata; Actinopteri; Cypriniformes; Danionidae
Source: RefSeq, a predicted model, not a curated record